UGACAAUGAUAUAAAGAUAAUGGUACCAACACAAUAUGAUUUAAACAAAACAGUUUCUCCUUUAUGGAAUUGGAACCAGAUAAGACGCUACGAGCUAAGCUGGGUGAUCAGCCCACGACAUAGCUCCGAACCCGCAUAUUCAAUACGAGUUCUCAAAUAUAAAGGAUCCUAGGCACACUUUGGCCUUUAAUAAUUCAAUUGGGACCGGCGCCUCGGUCAUAAAACAUUUUCAUCCAAUUCCCUUUCGAAAACAGAUAAAUCAAAUCAUUUUUCAUUUUAAAACCAAGGUUCAAAAUCUGUAAGCAACAAUGAUUCUCAACCAAAUAUUCAUUUCAACACCUUAGCAUUAGAGUUCUACUAAUUAAGUAUUCUUUAUCAAGGGUAUAGGUUACUGAAUCAAGUGUAUCAAUGUAUUUUAUAAUAAUGGCAGGGUAGGUUGUAUGAUGAUAACUAAGGUCUUUCAAGAAAUGGGGUUUCUUUUAUGGGUCAGAAACAAACAAGUGAACUUGUUUUAGUUUAUAAGCAAGAACACAAUUUGUUGUAGUUAAGAGAGAGGUAAGAAAACAAGAUUCUAAGCUCAAUAUUAAGUAACUGGCAGUUGAAGAAGAUAAGGAUGACAAUUAAGUUGAUACAUUUUCAAAAUAUAAGUGACAAAGGGUAUUCCAUUUCAUACUUGGACGCCCCCCCUAUCAAGCAAGAAAGAAGCGGCGGCUUUCAUCGUUGAUGAACACAUGCGCUAAUAAGGGGUGAUUCCAGAAUACUAGUUAAUUAGUAGAAGUCUAAUUCUAUGAGGAGUUUUGCAAUAUUCAAAGCAUAACAAAAGCAUUGCAGGAGAAAAAUCUUUUAAAGAGAAAGUAGGUUGGAUAUAUACUUGCCUUUAACUCCGGUGUCUAUCUCAAAUUUCUAUUAACACUAUGUAGUGCCAUAUCAUUCCUUUCAGCUAGCUUCUGACAAGAUUCUAUCAAUAGCAAAUCUCUGCCUAACUUCAACUUGCAACACUACCUUGGCUAUUUCUGAAUAUCCAUUUCAAUCACUUCUCGAUCCAUGCCACGAUCAACAUCUCGUUCAACUCUAUACGAUAAUAAAACAGUAUUUCAGUCGUCAAAUCCGACUGAUUAACUAACUCCAAAAGGCAUUAAGACCUAUAUAUAACUACCCUUCGCAUAUACAUACCACGUAGCCAGAUAAACACAUAGCACAUAGUUGAACAAUUAACUUUUAUAGAUAUUAAAAGUCAAUAUUGAUAAGUUAACAUAUAACAUGUUUCAGUUAACCAUGUCACCUUAUUCUAAUCUAUUUAAUAUCCUUUAACAAGUAAAACAUAUAUAGUUUCUAACGAAAAUUCGACAGCACUUCCUCUAUUUAUCGGACUAUCCACCUGUUUUCUUAUAUUAUUCAACAAGUAACCAGCUCAAUCCAACUCAAUAAACCAAUAAGUACGGGACCAAUAUCAGUUAAAACACAAUAUCACAGUAUGCACACUCACAUCGCUAGAUUUGAAAUCAUAUAUCACUGUUAGACAUGAUUAACACUGAUCAACCAAGUAUAACCUCCUCCUAUGCACUAAUCAAAGAAAGAAAACUAGAACAAAUAGUUCAAACAGCCCUCACUCUAUGAUUUUUAAUAAAUUGAAAAUUUAUCUUUUUAAUACAAAAUUUUUAUGAGACACUCCUAAACAUUAUUCCAAUCUACUAUAAAAAUUUCAGAAGCAAAUUCCAUGUUUAAGAGAGUAAAACAGGGCCUGCAAGUCAAGAACCUGAAUCUGUCCUGCAGAACCAGCCCCACGCUAAGAAUUUUAAUAAAUAGAAAAAUUGGUCUGUUUGUAUAAAAUUUUAAUGACAUAUUCCAGACACUAACAUCUAACUCCAGUAAAAAUUUCAGAAUUAAACACCAAGUAUAAGGCCUCCAAACAGAGUCUGCAAUCAGUACAACAGACCCUGUCGAGGAACUCUGCGCACGAAGCACCUCUUUGAUCAUAACUUUUAACUCAAUUAUGAUUAUAAUCUAAUUCUUUCGCAGGUGUAAUCUACACUCCAAAUUGUAACUUGUCACCAAAAUUCAUUGAAAUAUAACAUUCUUAAGACAACUAAAUGUUUGUACCAAAAUAGUAGAAAAUGGUAGCCACUCGAGAACCAAUCUGCACCUAUACAACUCAAUCGCUUAUAACUUUUAAUACAUUUAGCAAAACAUAGUAAUUCUUUUUCAUACUUAAUCUAAACUUCAAGAAACAUAAAAUCACCGAGAAAUCAAGCAUAUCAUACGAACUAAACAAUUCCAAAACAGAGAUUCAAAACAAGACAGCACUGCUACGGAAGCUUGACAACAAUUGACUCAAUUCUAAUGCCACAACUCAAACUAAUCAAAACCCAUAUAACUACAUAUCUUUAUAUGUGUAAUCUGAUUCGAAUUAAAAAAAAAUACUAAUUCACAGCUUUAGACAUCACACAAGCAGGUCUGUACAUAUACAUACACACAAAACCAAUAAAGGAGACAAUUCAAAAUAUACCCAAUUAGAAUAACCAGAGGUGUAGGUGGGUUGUGGCCAAUAGAGUUAAUUGACCGGAGAACUGAAGUAUAAGGCUGGCUUCGAGGGCCACUGUGCAGCGACUGGAGAUGUGGUAGGAGGCUAGGAGCGGAGGAUGGCAGCUACGGAGAAAUCCGGCGGCGGCAGGACAACCCGACAAAGCACGGUGCCGGGAAACGAAGCAGCGGGUACAAAGGUGAAAGAUGGAAGCGGGUGAGUGUUCAGAGAGAGAGAGAGAGACGCGAGAGAUUGAGGGAUAGCAAGGGAUUGAGGGAGAUUGAGAAACAGUGACGAGAGAGAAUUGAUGAGAGACGAGGGUUUUAGAGUCUGUAAAUUAGGGAAGAAAGAUGUACGUGGCAGUAGAAUAGAAAGGAUACAUGACCACGCGGCUUAAUUAUAACCUGCCAUCUAUUAUUUUAUAUAUUGACUAAUCAACUAUCAAAUACCCGCUUUUAACUGAUUUACGGAGAUAAAUCACAGCAAAAUUUCUCC
Molecule: long non-coding RNA, 3016 nt
Filed under: Daucus carota (carrot)
Lineage: Eukaryota; Viridiplantae; Streptophyta; Magnoliopsida; Apiales; Apiaceae
Description: long non-coding RNA (DCAR_LNC001285)
Source: RNAcentral